UCGAACGCGAAAGCCCCGCAAGGGGCAAGUAGAGUGGCAAACGGGUGAGUAACACGUGGGUGACCUGCCUUCGAGCGGGGGAUAACGUCCCGAAAGGGACGCUAAUACCGCAUAACAUCCUGCCUUUGAAGAGGUGGAGAUCAAAGCUGGGGAUCGCAAGACCCGGCACUUGAAGAGGGGCCCGCGCCUGAUUAGCUAGUUGGUGGGGUAACGGCCUACCAAGGCAACGAUCAGUAUCCGGCCUGAGAGGGCGGACGGACACACUGGGACUGAGACACGGCCCAGACUCCUACGGGAGGCAGCAGUGGGGAAUUGUUCGCAAUGGGCGCAAGCCCGACGACGCAACGCCGCGUGGAGGAUGAAGAUUUUCGGAUCGUAAACUCCUGUCGAAUGGGACGAACAGAUUGCGGGUUAACAGCCCGUGGUCCUGACGGUACCGUUAAAGGAAACCCCGGCUAACUCCGUGCCAGCAGCCGCGGUAAUACGGGGGGGGUAAGCGUUG
This 502-nucleotide ribosomal RNA is filed under the name uncultured bacterium. RNAcentral describes it as "bacterial SSU rRNA". It matches the Rfam family "Bacterial small subunit ribosomal RNA", at positions 62 to 543 of the family's 1533-position model. The record is from RNAcentral.